UUCAGUUUUUCGGUUGACGCACCCUGGAAUUGGGCUCCCUCCUCUUUGGUUCCAGGUGCAUCACCCAAGAACGGCA
Myotis davidii is the source of this 76-nucleotide non-coding RNA. NCBI's taxonomy places the organism in Eukaryota, Metazoa, Chordata, Mammalia, Chiroptera, Vespertilionidae. The record is from Rfam.